Molecule: ribosomal RNA, 466 nt
Filed under: uncultured bacterium
Lineage: Bacteria
Description: partial 16S ribosomal RNA
Rfam family: Bacterial small subunit ribosomal RNA
Source: RNAcentral
GACGAACGCUGGCGGCGCGCCUAACACAUGCAAGUCGAACGAGCGAGAGAGAGCUUGCUUUCUUGAGCGAGUGGCGAACGGGUGAGUAACGCGUGAGGAACCUGCCUCAAAGAGGGGGACAACAGUUGGAAACGACUGCUAAUACCGCAUAAGCCCACGGUGCCGCAUGGCACAGAGGGAAAUGGAGCAAUCCGCUUUGAGAUGGCCUCGCGUCCGAUUAGCUAGUUGGUGAGGUAACGGCCCACCAAGGCGACGAUCGGUAGCCGGACUGAGAGGUUGAACGGCCACAUUGGGACUGAGACACGGCCCAGACUCCUACGGGAGGCAGCAGUGGGGAAUAUUGCACAAUGGGGGAAACCCUGAUGCAGCGACGCCGCGUGGAGGAAGAAGGUCUUCGGAUUGUAAACUCCUGUUGUUGGGGAAGAUAAUGACGGUACCCAACAAGGAAGAGACGGCUAACUACGUG